This 253-nucleotide ribosomal RNA is filed under the name uncultured bacterium. RNAcentral's name for it is "partial 16S ribosomal RNA". It matches the Rfam family "Bacterial small subunit ribosomal RNA", at positions 524 to 776 of the family's 1533-position model. The record is from RNAcentral.
UACGUAGGGUGCAAGCGUUAAUCGGAAUUACUGGGCGUAAAGCGUGCACAGGCGGUUUUGUAAGUCUGUCGUGAAAUCCCCGGGCUUAACCUGGGAAUGGCGAUGGAGACUGCAAGGCUAGAAUCUGGCAGAGGGGGGUAGAAUUCCACGUGUAGCAGUGAAAUGCGUAGAGAUGUGGAGGAACACCGAUGGCGAAGGCAGCCCCCUGGGCUAAGAUUGACGCUCAUGCACGAAAGCGUGGGGAGCAAACAGG